CUGCUGCCUCCCGUAGGAGUUUGGGCCGUGUCUCAGUCCCAAUGUGGCCGGUCACCCUCUCAGGUCGGCUACUGAUCGUUGCCUUGGUGAGCCGUUACCUCUCCAACUAGCUAAUCAGACGCGGGUCCAUCUCAUACCACCUCAGUUUUUCACACCAAACCAUGCGGUUUUGUGCGCUUAUGCGGUAUUAGCAGUCAUUUCUAACUGUUAUCCCCCUGUAUGAGGCAGGUUACCCACGCGUUACUCACCCGU
RNAcentral lists this ribosomal RNA (252 nucleotides) under uncultured bacterium. RNAcentral describes it as "partial 16S ribosomal RNA". The record is from RNAcentral.